This 468-nucleotide ribosomal RNA is filed under the name uncultured bacterium. RNAcentral's name for it is "partial 16S ribosomal RNA". It matches the Rfam family "Bacterial small subunit ribosomal RNA", at positions 28 to 507 of the family's 1533-position model. The record is from RNAcentral.
GACGAACGCUGGCGGCGUGCUUAACACAUGCAAGUCGAACGGAAAGGCCCUGCUUUUGUGGGGUGCUCGAGUGGCGAACGGGUGAGUAACACGUGAGUAACCUGCCCUUGACUUUGGGAUAACUUCAGGAAACUGGGGCUAAUACCGGAUAGGAGCUCCUGCUGCAUGGUGGGGGUUGGAAAGUUUCGGCGGUUGGGGAUGGACUCGCGGCUUAUCAGCUUGUUGGUGGGGUAGUGGCUUACCAAGGCUUUGACGGGUAGCCGGCCUGAGAGGGUGACCGGCCACAUUGGUACUGAAAUACGGCCCAGACUCGUACGGGGGGCAGAAGUGGGGAAUAUUGCACAAUGGGCGGAAGCCUGAUGCAGCAACGCCGCGUGCUGGAUGACGGCCUUCGGGUUGUAAACCGCUUUCGCCUGUGACGAAGCGUGAGUGACGGUAAUGGGUAAAGAAGCACCGGCUAACUACGUG